CUUUGAUCAGGAGAAAUCUAACAGUUCUCUCCUCAGCUCUGUACCAUGUAUUUUUCAUUUUCUGUCCUAAGGCCCUAUAAUUCUUCAUUGUAUUCAUACAUGUGAAAGGACACUUUGUGUGGAAGGAGAGGAAACAUGAAGUGAAAAUAUACAUCAUCCUGGGAAUUGGCCAGUGGUCUGAUCAUCUGAGCAGGUGCUUGAAGGAAAAAACUGGAAGAUCAGAGAUAAGAAAGUCUGGAUAGAGAACUAACGCUGGGCGAAUAGAAGAUGGCAUAACAUGUGGAUAUUUCUACGUAACCAGAAAGAAGCUAUCCUGGAAGAAGCACUGAACAACCAAAUGGAAAGAAUGAUUAGUCUGCUUUCAUCAUAAGCAGUGUAGACUGGCAUAAUGGGUAGAUGAACGGAGUAUCCUUGGUGGCAGAUGUGGAGGCUAUGAAUGUGUCCCAUGGCAGGGACUCCAAUGUACCAAGGUCUGUCUAACUAAUGCUGUUGCCUCUAAGUGUCCACCCUGUCAAGAACAGAAUCUAUCACUGAGAUUUGGUAAAAUGUUCUUCUGCCUGCAGCACCAGGACUAAGAGAAUGCCUGCCUGGUUCCGGAUGGAGCAGCGCAAUGUAUGGCCAUUGCUGUAAAUGCACUGCUGCCAUACUAGAGCCCGAUCAAUCAGAAGCAGACCUAAAGGUCUUCUCUGAUGUCCAAGCAUGGGACACCCAGGGUGACCCAGUCAGCAUUCACACGGGCAAAGUCCAUAAGCGUAAAAGAGUUAAUGCCUGCAGGACCCCCCUUGACGAUAGGAGUUGGGAACGGAUGGAUGAAGCUUCGUCCUUUCAUUCUCUUGGCAGACAGUUCUACAACAUGUUUUCUAUGGCUCUUCAGAAUGUGCUAUGGGAUUGAGCACCAGUCAUGGUGGGCAACGUGAUAAAGCAUCCUUGUGUUAUCUCUUUUUCUAUUCAGUCCCACUGUCCUUCACCCUCAACUUGCUGAGAUCACUUUGCAAAUAAACUAUAUGGA
RNAcentral lists this long non-coding RNA (1009 nucleotides) under Equus caballus (horse). RNAcentral's name for it is "lncRNA (ENSECAG00000052254.1)". Lineage: Eukaryota; Metazoa; Chordata; Mammalia; Perissodactyla; Equidae. The record is from RNAcentral.